GCUUUGAUCAGUAUAAAUCUAGAAAUGAUUUUAGCUGGAUUAUUUUUCAAAUUGCUAUCAGAGGACUUGUGUGAGAUUUGAGAAAAGUUGAUAGGAAGAACAACUUAUCACAGGUUGCCUAACUAAGUAACUGAGUUAGCUUAUAAACAUUUCACACAACGUCUCAUUUGAGAGGCUGUGAAUAACUUAAUUCCUAAGGUAAAUAUGUCUGAAGAUAAUUUUGACGCCACUCUGUGCAGUUCAGAGACAUCAGAAGAAUCAGGUAGCCUCUAUGUGUCAGAGGAGGCAGGAAUAUGUAUCCAAUCACCAGCGCUUCAGUUGGAGAUAAAAGAUGCAUGGGCCGAAGAGACCCACUAUAUAAAACAAGUUUCCCAGGAAAAGCUCAUUAAACUGCAUGGAGAGUGGAAGGAGCUCAACUCCAAGUUAGUAGUGACGGUACUGAAACUAAGUGAUCUGAGGGAUGAGACAACCAGGCGGGAGGAAGAACUAGCCUGGGUCUGUCUGUUGAACAAGAAAAGUCUCAGGGAGAAAAAUGACACUUAUAUCAGAAAGCUGGAAGAGGAAAAGUUGGUUUUGAGUGAGGAGAAUAAAAAUAUGACUGCUGAGCUGGCCCGGAUCAAAUCUCUGAGAGAGAAACUAAGGACUGAAAUUGAAAAUUUGAAGGCAACAGUGAAUGAUCUACGGAAAAAUGAGAAGGUCCUUAAUGACAACCUCACUGCUGAACUCGACCAGCUAAAAUCUCUCAGAGAGGAAAAACAUGCAGAGGUUGAACAGCUGUGGGCAGCAUUACAUGGUCUUCAGGACAAUGAGAAGAUUCUGAACGAGCAGAACGAGAAUCUUACUGCUGAAGUGGCCCAACUUGAAAGUCUGAAUGAGAUAAACCAAGCAGAGAUUAAACAGCUGAGGGCAGCAGUGUAUGACCUCGAGCAUCACGAUGAGGAAGCUCAGCAAGACCACAGUGGUAAAGACGAGCUAUUAGAGAAGGUCGCCGAACUUGAACACCUGAAAAAGACCUUGGAAGUAAACAAUAAACAGCUUCAGGAUUUGGGGGAAAGAGAGACCUCUCUGUACGAGCAAAAUAAUACCAUGGGUGCUGAACUGACCUCGCUUAAAUUAAAGAUGAAAAUAAAACAGGCACUGAAUGAACAUUUAAUGGAAGAUGCUGAUUAUCUGCAGGAUCUGAGGGAGGAACAACAGGCAGAGAUUGAAAAGUUGAGAGCAGCACUGCAUAACCUUCAGGAAUACGAAGAUUUCCUGAACAAGCAGAAUGACAACUUUACAGAUGAGCUGGCGCAACUUGAGUCUCUGACAGAGAAACAAAAUGAGGAGAACAAAAACCUGAAGACAUCUGUGCAAGAUCUUCUGCAUCGGCUGGAGGAGGUUAGGCAACUAAUCUUGAAUAAAGAUGAGCCGAUAGCAAGGAGGUACGAGGAGGAGAUACUAGCAGAGGUAGCAAACUACAGAGAGGAAUGUAGGAUGGCUGAAAAUACAGAACAACUGGACUCACAUGAGGAGCAGGGUGAUGACAGCUUCCUGGUGACUACACCUGAGGAGCAGGGAGAUGAUAGCCUCCUGGAGACUACACCUGAGGAGCAGGAAGACGAUAGCCUCAUGGAGGCUACACCUGAGGAGCAGGGAGACGAUAGCCUCAUGGAGACUACACCUGAGGAGCAGGAAGACGAUAGCCUCAUGGAGGCUACACCUGAGGAGCAGGGAGACGAUAGCUUCAUGGAGACUACACAUGAGGAGCAGGAAGACGAUAGCUUCAUGGAGGCUACACCUGAGGAGCAGGGAGACGAUAGCUUCAUGGAGACUACACAUGAGGAGCAGGAAGACGAUAGCUUCAUGGAGACUACACAUGAGGAGCAGGGAGACGAUAGCCUCAUGGAGGCUACACCUGAGGAGCAGGGAGACGAUAGCUUCAUGGAGGCUACAUCUGAGGAGCAGGAAGACAAUAGCUUCAUGGAAGCUACACAUGAGGAGCAGGGAGACGAUAGCUUCAUGGAGACUACACCUGAGGAGCAGGAAGACAAUAGCCUCAUGGAGACUACACAUGAGGAGCAGGAAGACGAUAGCCUCAUGGAGGCUACACCUGAGGAGCAGGAAGACGAUAGCUUCAUGGAGACUACACAUGAGGAGCAGGAAGACGAUAGCUUCAUGGAGACUACAUUUAAGGAGCAGGGAGACGAUAGCCUCCUGGAGACUACACCCGAGGAGCAGGAAGACGAUAGCUUCCUGGAGACAACAGCUGCAGAACCUCCCGCUGCUGAGGUUCAGACCAGACGUUUGUGGCGUUGUUCUGCUAAAGGUCUACUGAAAGGUGCUUUGCAUGUUGGCCUUGCCACUGUAGGUAUAGGGCUACUUCUGCCUGUGGGUAUCCUGGACACCUUAUUGUCUGACAACGGCAAUACAAACACUAACUCCUUCCUGUUGGACUAUGCCCACCAACUGAUGGAGCCCUACAGUACCUUACGACGCACAGUUCCUCAUCCCAUCUAAACAAGACAAGCUACACAAACAGGCAAUUUUUGACCAACAUUUUAAAUCCCAACAACAGAUUCUGCAGUCAAGGUCCAGCUAAUUUCUAAGUUAUGUGUGCAUAUGAAUUAUGAAUCUAAAUAUCUAUCUAUAUAUUUUAAUAAUUCAUAUUUAUAAAUGCAAGGGCGGCACGCUGAUGGAGAGGCUGUCGCUUCACAGGAGACGGGCCUUUCUGUGUGGACUUUGCAUCGUCUCCACGUGUUUGCAUGGGUUUCCUCCCAAGACAUAGUUUAGGUCCAAAAGUCUGAAUGUGAGUGUGGACGAUGACCUCACACCUAAUGUGGGCUGGAAUAGACUCAUAUUGGGUGAGAGGUAUAGCUAAUGGAUGGAUGGAUUUCAAAAAGUCAAUUAAUAUCAUUUUUAAAAAAUGAUUAAAAAAGCAAAUCAAAAAAAAUAAUUUGGAAGUGGAAUUGAAUCUGUAAAAUCAAAUAGAUAAGGAAUGAAAUAGAACAGUAACACUUAUAAACUAUAUACUAUAUUCAUAAUAAUGACAAAGAUAAUAGGAACACUUUGUGUACAAAGAAAAAUAUAAUACAUUUAUGUAUGUACACAUUAUGUGAAAUAUUACUCUGAAGUUGCUCAACAAUAAUAAAAAUAAAAAAGGCUACAAAAGAAGCCAAUACACGGAGCAAAUUUUUAGAUGCAAUAUUUGUAUUUGUGAUGUAUUGUAUGUAACAUGUGAGAGAGAUUUGACAGCCAGAGUCCAGGGCCAGAAGGGAUAUGCAAUGAGUUUUAUAAAGGUUCAAUCACACAAUUGCCCCAUAUUCCACAGACAUUUAAUGAAGCCUCUAUGACAGUUCUUCCGAAGAAAGGGAAAGACUUAAUGCAGGUCUGUGUCUGUCUCCCUGCCUUGUGUGAAUACCUAUCCCUGCCCUGAUGUGUCCCACCUGUGCCUCAUUGUCUUCCCUGUCCUACUGUAUAAAUACCCACCUCCCCAGUCAGUUGCCACUUUGUCUUGUUCCUAGUGUGUUUUUUGACCUCAGCAUUACUUUUGACUCCUGCCUUGUUUUUGAAUACCUUUGUCUUUGUCCUAUUUUUUUGGACUCUGUACAAUAAAUCUGUUUGAUCUGAA
Micropterus dolomieu (smallmouth bass) is the source of this 3610-nucleotide RNA transcript. It is a transcript of the gene named nucleoprotein TPR-like, with no coding region annotated. The transcript has 2 exons. NCBI's taxonomy places the organism in Eukaryota, Metazoa, Chordata, Actinopteri, Centrarchiformes, Centrarchidae. The record is from RefSeq and is a predicted model, not a curated record.